AGAGUUUGAUCAUGGCUCAGAUUGAACGCUGGCGGCAUGCUUUACACAUGCAAGUCGAACGGCAGCACGGGGGCAACCCUGGUGGCGAGUGGCGAACGGGUGAGUAAUGCAUCGGAACGUAUCCUUAAGUGGGGGAUAACGCAUCGAAAGAUGCGCUAAUACCGCAUAAUCUCUAAGGAGAAAAGCAGGGGAUCGCAAGACCUUGCGCUUUUGGAGCGGCCGAUGUCUGAUUAGCUAGUUGGUGAGGUAAAGGCUUACCAAGGCUUCGAUCAGUAGCUGGUCUGAGAGGACGACCAGCCACACUGGGACUGUGACACGGCCCAGACUCCUACGGGAGGCAGCAGUGGGGAAUUUUGGACAAUGGGGGCAACCCUGAUCCAGCCAUGCCGCGUGAGUGAAGAAGGCCUUCGGGUUGUAAAGCUCUUUCAGCCGGAACGAAAAGGUUACGGUUAAUACCCGUGACUAAUGACGGUACCGGAAGAAGAAGCACCGGCUAACUACGUGCCAGCAGCCGCGGUAAUACGUAGGGUGCGAGCGUUAAUCGGAAUUACUGGGCGUAAAGCGUGCGCAGGCGGUUUUGUAAGUCAGAUGUGAAAUCCCCGGGCUUAACCUGGGAACUGCGUUUGAAACUACAAGGCUAGAGUGUGGCAGAGGGGGGUGGAAUUCCACGUAGCAGUGAAAUGCGUAGAGAUGUGGAGGAACACCGAUGGCGAAGGCAGCCCCCUGGGUUAACACUGACGCUCAGGCACGAAAGCGUGGGGAGCAAACAGGAUUAGAUACCCUAGUAGUCC
This 791-nucleotide ribosomal RNA is filed under the name uncultured bacterium. RNAcentral describes it as "bacterial SSU rRNA". It matches the Rfam family "Bacterial small subunit ribosomal RNA", at positions 8 to 796 of the family's 1533-position model. The record is from RNAcentral.